This 419-nucleotide ribosomal RNA is filed under the name uncultured bacterium. Its description in RNAcentral is "partial 16S ribosomal RNA". It matches the Rfam family "Bacterial small subunit ribosomal RNA", at positions 29 to 506 of the family's 1533-position model. The record is from RNAcentral.
GUGAAUGCGAGAAUUCUGCUUUAACACAUGCGAGUCGGAUGAAAUGGUUACAUUUAGAAUGGCGUACGGGUGUAAAAUGUAUUUAUGAUACUUCCUGCAGAAUGGUUUUAAUGAUAAAAAUACCAUAUACAAAAACCAUUAUGGUGCUGCAGACGUAUGGAUAUCAGAUCAAGUAGUAGGGACGCUACCGCGUCCCUAGCUUUCGACCUGUUAGCUGGUUUGGGAGAACGGCCAGCCACAUCGGAAUUGAAAUAUGGACCGAACUGUACUUCGGGCAGCAGUGUGGAAUAUUGGGCAAUGCGCGCAAGCGUGACCCAGCGUGAAUUUGUUGAUUUGGCUAGGUUAGAGGAUCGCAUGCUUCGGAUGGUGGCUCAACAGGAACUCAAGAUCCUUAGAGCCCAAACGCUGACUAAAUCUGU